GAGUUUGAUCCUGGCUCAGGAUGAACGCUAGCGGCAGGCCUAACACAUGCAAGUCGAGGGGUAACGAUGGCUUCGGCCAGGCGACGACCGGCGCACGGGUGAGUAGCGCGUUUGUAACCUACCUCUAACUGGAGCAUAGCUCCCGGAAACGGGAAUUAAUUCUCCAUAACAUUUAAACAUGGCAUCAUGUUUUUAUUAAAGCUCAGGCGGUUAGAGAUGGGCAUGCGUGACAUUAGCUUGUUGGUAAGGUAACGGCUUACCAAGGCUACGAUGUCUCGGGGGUCUGAGAGGAUGAUCCCCCACACUGGUACUGAGACACGGACCAGACUCCUACGGGAGGCAGCAGUGAGGAAUAUUGGGCAAUGGACGCAAGUCUGACCCAGCCAUGCCGCGUGCAGGAUGACGGCUCUAUGAGUUGUAAACUGCUUUUAUACAGGAAGAAAUCCUCUGACGUGUCAGAGGUUGACGGUACUGUAAGAAUAAGCAUCGGCUAACUCCGUGCCAGCAGCCGCGGUAAUACGGAGGAUGCAAGCGUUAUCCGGAUUUAUUGGGUUUAAAGGGUGCGUAGGCUGGACAAUCAGUCAGUGGUGAAAUCCUGCGGCUUAACCGUAGAACUGCCAUUGAUACUGUUGUCCUUGAGUAUAGUUGGGGUGGGCGGAAUGUGUAAUGUAGCGGUGAAAUGCAUAGAGAUUACACAGAACACCAAUUGCGAAGGCAGCUCACUAAGCUAUAACUGACGCUGAGGCACGAAAGCGUGGGGAGCGAACAGGAUUAGAU
This 777-nucleotide ribosomal RNA is filed under the name uncultured bacterium. Its description in RNAcentral is "bacterial SSU rRNA". It matches the Rfam family "Bacterial small subunit ribosomal RNA", at positions 9 to 783 of the family's 1533-position model. The record is from RNAcentral.